UACGGAGGGUGCAAGCGUCAAUCGGAAUUACUGGGCGUAAAGCGCACGCAGGCGGUCUGUUAAGUCAGAUGUGAAAUCCCCGGGCUUAACCUGGGAACUGCAUUUGAAACUGGCAGGCUUGAGUCUUGUAGAGGGGGGUAGAAUUCCAGGUGUAGCGGUGAAAUGCGUAGAGAUCUGGAGGAAUACCGGUGGCGAAGGCGGCAUCCUGGACCGGUAUUGACGCUGAGGCGCGAAAGCCAGGGGAGCAAACGGG
This 253-nucleotide ribosomal RNA is filed under the name uncultured bacterium. RNAcentral's name for it is "partial 16S ribosomal RNA". It matches the Rfam family "Bacterial small subunit ribosomal RNA", at positions 524 to 776 of the family's 1533-position model. The record is from RNAcentral.